This 468-nucleotide ribosomal RNA is filed under the name uncultured bacterium. RNAcentral's name for it is "partial 16S ribosomal RNA". It matches the Rfam family "Bacterial small subunit ribosomal RNA", at positions 28 to 507 of the family's 1533-position model. The record is from RNAcentral.
GACGAACGCUGGCGGCGUGCUUAACACAUGCAAGUCGAACGGAAAGGCCCUGCUUUUGUGGGGUGCUCGAGUGGCGAACGGGUGAGUAACACGUGAGUAACCUGCCCUUGACUUUGGGAUAACUUCAAGAAACUGGGGCUAAUACCGGAUAGAAGCUCCUGCUGCAUGGUGGGGGUUGGAAAGUUUCGGCGGUUGGGGAUGGACUCGCGGCUUAUCAGCUUGUUGGUGGGGUAGUGGCUUACCAAGGCUUUGACGGGUAGCCGGCCUGCGAGGGUGACCGGCCACAUUGGGACUGAGAUACGGCCCAGACUCCUACGGGAGGCAGCAGUGGGGAAUAAUGCACAAUGGGCGGAAGCCUGAUGCAGCAACGCCGCGUGCGGGAUGACGGCCGUCGGGUUGUAAACCGCUUUCGCCUGUGACGAAGCGUGAGUGACGGUAAUGGGUAAAGAAGCACCGGCUAACUACGUG